Daphnia magna is the source of this 1402-nucleotide long non-coding RNA. RefSeq lists it as uncharacterized. The record is from RefSeq and is a predicted model, not a curated record. The transcript is spliced from 3 exons. NCBI's taxonomy places the organism in Eukaryota, Metazoa, Arthropoda, Branchiopoda, Diplostraca, Daphniidae.
GAUUUCAAUAGACGACGCCUUCAAUGGAGGAGUCUAUGCAUACGAUGCCGUGUAUGCAACGAUAUGAAGAGUUGAUUAAUUUAUAAAUUUAUAUUUUAGUUUAUUGAUUGCAGAGUCAGAGAACAAUGUGUAAAUUUGAUAUUCUAGCCCUCGAAACCCCAGCUUUCCUUCUGCUUCAACAAGGCAUUAAAGAAAUUAUAAUUUCGGGAGGUCCCAGUGGGGCAUCCCAGUUAACGCAGCGAGAUGCCCCACAAUACGACCCAGCAAUCUUUAUUACUUGCGGUCUUCCACUGCCGGGAAUUUGUUACGCAUGCAAAUACUCAUCAGGGAAUAAGGUAACCAAUUCUGUUUUAUAUAAAAUUUUUAUUAUUCAAAUUAUUUCACAGCAGUAUUCAACAUGUCAGAAAUAAAAAUUAUGCCAUAAAAUAACAAAACGAGUGCCCAUUGCUUAAAGGCUUAGAGACUCGGGGCAAAUGGUGUUGCUGAUCCAUGGUGACAGCGUCGAUAAGGUUGCAGAAGGAUUGCGUUGCGUCGCAAAAUCUUCGCGUCCUAUUAAUUCCGCCAUUGCUGAUACUGAACGCCUUUUUAUCGGAGUCUAGUUCCAUCCUGAAGCGGAUUUGACUGAAAACGGCAUGUUGGAUUCCUUUCCAUUGAGUGCGAAACAUUGAUCUUGAUGGCUGGUGUAAAAAUUACAGGACGAAAAAAGUUGCAUAACUUCUUGUUCGACAACUGUGAAUUGCAAGGUUUCACAUUGGAGAAACGCGAGCAGCAUCAUCGGGUAUCUUAAGAUACUUCUCCGUAUCGUUCAGAAUCUCAUUAUUUGCCGCGUUGGUAUGAGAUUAAUGGAUACAUCUCCCUGUCACAUCACAAAAUCUACGGUUUAUAAUUUUUAUCCUAUGACCGAGUUCUUUUACAGACAGUGGCUUCUCGUUUUCUCUUCAAACCAGCGAUCAAACUUGAUGCUUCCAAUGGUUUUGAGUUGUUAGAGCAAGUUUGACUUUCUACCAUGCUUCCACCAACGUGCAUCGUCGCCAAACUUUGUCGUUGUAUCGGACUUCCAAUCCAGAAGAAAAACGUCGAAUUAUUGGCGAUACGUUUGUCAAAGUGGCAGAUAGAACGAUUUAAAUCUCACUUGGAAUACUCAACUUCUCAGACAAGGUACUUCGAGGCCGGAUUUAAUUGAGUCCACUUAGCAUAUGGCUUCUUCGCGUGGUUUGUCAAUCCGAAUCAUUUGCGCCGAAGAACUGUUCAUGGAAGCUGGUUUCGGUGAGACGCAUUCAAGAGAUGUCGUUUUUGGCCGGGGGGAGGCUAUACCCUUCCCACUUGAAAAUCACGGAAAUCAGGUUUAUUUUUCUAAUUGUCUUAUACUUUUUGGUUUAAACGUUAAAAACCAUAAAUUAAG